This 1191-nucleotide ribosomal RNA is filed under the name Bacteroides caccae. RNAcentral describes it as "bacterial LSU rRNA". It matches the Rfam family "Bacterial large subunit ribosomal RNA", at positions 1 to 1198 of the family's 2925-position model. The record is from RNAcentral. Lineage: Bacteria; Pseudomonadati; Bacteroidota; Bacteroidia; Bacteroidales; Bacteroidaceae.
AAAGAAAGUAAGCAAGGGCGCAUGGCGGAUGCCUUGGCUCUCGGAGGCGAUGAAGGACGUGAUAAGCUGCGAUAAGCUUCGGGUAGGUGCAAAUAACCUUUGAUCCGAAGAUUUCCGAAUGGGACAACCCGACAUUCUGAAGGAAUGUCAUCCUGCUUGGCAGGAGGCUAACGCAGGGAACUGAAACAUCUUAGUACCUGCAGGAAAAGAAAAUAAUAAUGAUUCCCCAAGUAGUGGCGAGCGAACGGGGAUUAGCCCAAACCAAUGUUGUUACGGCAAUAUUGGGGUUGUAGGACCACGUUGUCGCAAGACAUUCAGUGAGAAGAAUUCUUUGGAAAAUGAAACCAUAGACGGUGAUAGUCCGGUAUUCGAAGCUGAACGAAGCGUAGUGGUAUCCUGAGUAGCGCGGGACACGAGGAAUCUUGCGUGAACCAGCCGGGACCAUCCGGUAAGGCUAAAUACUCCCGAGAGACCGAUAGCGAACCAGUACUGUGAAGGAAAGGUGAAAAGCACUUCGAAUAGAAGAGUGAAAUAGUCCCUGAAACCAUGCGCCUACAAGCGGUCGGAGCAGCUUAUGCUGUGACGGCGUGCCUUUUGCAUAAUGAACCUACGAGUUACUUUUUCCGGCAAGGUUAAGGAUCUAGAGAUCCGUAGCCGAAGCGAAAGCGAGUCUGAACAGGGCGAUAAGUCGGAAGGAGUAGACGCGAAACCAAGUGAUCUACCCUUGGCCAGGUUGAAGGUUAGGUAACACUAACUGGAGGACCGAACCGAUAAGCGUUGAAAAGCUUCCGGAUGAGCUGAGGGUGGGGGUGAAAGGCUAAUCAAACUUGGAGAUAGCUCGUACUCCCCGAAAUGCAUUUAGGUGCAGCCUUGUGAGUUACUAAUGUGAGGUAGAGCGACUGAUAAGAUGCGAGGGCUUCACCGCCUAUCAAGUCUUGAUAAACUCCGAAUGCGCAUUAGUUCUAUCACAGGAGUGAGGGCAUGGGUGCUAAGGUCCAUGUCCUAAAGGAGAAGAAUCCGGACCAUCAGCUAAGGUCCCGAAAUAGAUACUAAGUUGAACUAACGAAGUCAGAUUGCUAAGACAGCUAGGAUGUUGGCUUGGAAGCAGCCAUUCAUUUAAAGAGUGCGUAACAGCUCACUAGUCGAGGAGUUUGGCGUGGAUAAUAAUCGGGCAUUAAGUAUCUUACCGAA